Molecule: transfer RNA, 72 nt
Filed under: Tetracentron sinense
Lineage: Eukaryota; Viridiplantae; Streptophyta; Magnoliopsida; Trochodendrales; Trochodendraceae
Rfam family: tRNA
About the family: Transfer RNA (tRNA) molecules are approximately 80 nucleotides in length. Their secondary structure includes four short double-helical elements and three loops (D, anti-codon, and T loops).
Source: Rfam by way of RNAcentral
GCCCUUUUAACUCAAUGGUAGAGUAAUGCCAUGGUAAGGCAUAAGUCAUCGGUUCAAAUCAAAUAAGGGGCU